Molecule: unclassified non-coding RNA, 336 nt
Filed under: soil metagenome
Description: partial contains 5.8S ribosomal RNA, internal transcribed spacer 2, and large subunit ribosomal RNA
Rfam family: 5.8S ribosomal RNA (bases 1-120)
Source: RNAcentral
GAUGAAGAACGCAGCGAAAUGCGAUAAGUAAUGUGAAUUGCAGAAUUCAGUGAAUCAUCGAAUCUUUGAACGCACAUUGCGCCCCUCGGUAUUCCGGGGGGCAUGCCUGUUCGAGCGUCAUUUCAACCAUCAAGCCCCAGGCUUGUGUUGGGGACCUGCGGCUGCCGCAGGCCCUGAAAACCAGUGGCGGGCUCGCUGUCACACCGGGCGUAGUAGAUUUUAUCUCGCUCAGGGCGUGCUGCGGGUUCCGGCCGUUAAAAAGCCUUUUUUACCCAAGGUUGACCUCGGAUCAGGUAGGAAGACCCGCUGAACUUAAGCAUAUCAAUAAGCGGAGGA